This 86-nucleotide transfer RNA is filed under the name Ganoderma leucocontextum. Its description in RNAcentral is "tRNA-Arg". It matches the Rfam family "tRNA". Rfam says of the family: Transfer RNA (tRNA) molecules are approximately 80 nucleotides in length. Their secondary structure includes four short double-helical elements and three loops (D, anti-codon, and T loops). Lineage: Eukaryota; Fungi; Basidiomycota; Agaricomycetes; Polyporales; Polyporaceae. The record is from RNAcentral.
GCCCUCGUCGUCUAAUGGUUAGGACGCCAGACUUCUAAAUCUCCAGAUCUAUCUGGCGGCUGCGGGUUCAAGUCCCGCCGAGGGUA